This 518-nucleotide ribosomal RNA is filed under the name uncultured bacterium. Its description in RNAcentral is "bacterial SSU rRNA". It matches the Rfam family "Bacterial small subunit ribosomal RNA", at positions 11 to 506 of the family's 1533-position model. The record is from RNAcentral.
GUUUGAUCCUGGCUCAGAACGAACGUUGGCGGCGUGGAUGAGGCAUGCAAGUCGCGCGAGAAAGCACCUUCGGGUGCGAGUAAAGCGGCGGACGGGUGAGUAACACGUGACCGACCUGCCCUUGAUCCUGGGACAACAGCGGGAAACUGCUGCUAAUACCGGAUGGCCCAUUUGGACUGCAUGGUCUGGAUGGUAAAGGUGGGGAUCCUGCGGGACCUACUGAUCGAGGAGGGGGUUGCGGCCCAUCAGCUAGUUGGCGGGGUAACGGCCCACCAAGGCGACGACGGGUAGCAGGCCUGAGAGGGUGGUCUGCCACACUGGGACUGAGACACUGCCCCAGACUCCUACGGGAGGCUGCAGUCGAGGAUCUUCCGCAAUGGGCGCAAGCCUGACGGAGCGACGCCGCGUGGAGGACGAAGGCCUUAGGGUUGUAAACUCCUGUCGAGGGUUAUGAAGAGCGUCUGGCGAACAGCCUGACGAGUGACGUAAGCCCUGGAGGAAGCACCGGCUAACUCUGU